Molecule: non-coding RNA, 92 nt
Organism: Branchiostoma floridae (Florida lancelet)
Lineage: Eukaryota; Metazoa; Chordata; Leptocardii; Amphioxiformes; Branchiostomatidae
Source: Rfam
GUUUGCCUGUGUGUGGAUUGUGUUCAGCGCCAGGGACAGGUGUAUUCACUUGUGUGGAUGGUGUUCAGCACCAAGGACAAGUGUGUUUACCU